GCCACGUCCCGGUCGUCAUCUUCAUCCGCAGCCAGCAGGCACAGGACCACGUUGUCCGGGUCUCUACAGACAGUGGGCAACGGCUACUGACUUGUCUGCACUCAAAACUCAAGAACUGUCUCUCCCAGAGUAUGAAGUCACUCAUCUCUACCGACCUGCUUCCCUCCAGGAGUAGCCUAGUGUGACACACAGUCUCCUGUGACAACCUGCCUAUCAAAAUGUAGAACUAUCGGCUCCUCCAGUUCCACAUCUGCCUGCACACUGCCAUGCUUCCUGCCAUGAUAAUGAUGGACUGAACCUCUGAAACUACAUGUUAGAAGCCCUCCCACAGGCCGUUUGCCUAAGGAAACUACUGUUCUUUGGAGGCAUUGACUAUCUAGAUGACAGUGUCCCCACUGUGUGUUCCACAAAUGUGCUGGCAACCAGUGCUUGAUGCCACAGGAGUCGCAAAGCAGCACAACCCAAGGACGUGCUUCUCAAAGCUGCAGUCAUCACCAAAGCCAGGACAGAGCUCCAGAAGGUGCUGCACAAGAACACAAGGUCAAGGCUGGCCAGUUCCCACACGUCUGCCAUCACAGCUACUCUGCAGCUGAGACUGCGAGAUCUGUAAGUUCAAGGCUUGUAAGAGCUUCGGGCUGAGUUCAAGGCCAGCCUGGGUAAUUUUGUGACGUCCUGUCUCAAAAUAAAAGCAAGAUAGUUCUGGCAGUAGAGUGUUUGUCUAUAAUUCACAAGGCCCCAUAUCCAAUACCCAUCAUCACAAAAUAAAGUAAAUAUGUGACUGAGAAUGAAUGAAGAUGGUACCAUGGCCUUCAAACGGGGAGUUUCAGCAGGCGGAGGAUUGCACAGGGAUGAGAAGACAGGCCUCACAAGGAGCUCGGUGGUAAGGCAAAGGAAGAGCAAUUCCCAGUUAAUGGUUUACUGCAUUCUAAUUACAGCCACAACCUCUGCAAUAGUUGUCUCCAGUUAAAACCAAAGAGCAGCAUCUUUGCUGUCUUCUGUGACCACCAGAGGCUGAAGGAGAAGAUUCGACAGCAAACAACUGGCUUCUGUUUGCUGGGUCAGGGUCAGGUGUGGUGGCUUUCCGAUGUUAUCCUGACCAGAGUACAGAUUUGGAAGGUGCAUUCUGUACAUUGGAGAAUUAAGCACAUAGAGUUGUAACACUUUCAGUCCAGGAAUGGGGGGUAGGGUGCCUAACAGUAGCUUUAUUAAUAAACAUUUAAUUAUUCCUCAUAACAGACCUGGUACUAUAUGCCUAUAGUUCUAGCACUUAAGAAUGGCAGGAGGAUUAGGCAUGCAAGAUGGCCUUGACUGUGUAGUAAGGUUAGGACCAGGCUGAGCUAUAUAUCUCAACUGGAGGAAAAAAAGUCUAUAGUCUUUUUCCCACAUAUACCCAUCUUCAAUGGGGCACUUUUGCCUGCUGGGGGCUAAUCUCACUACAUUCAUAACAGUUAGUCAUGGAACUGCCUUUCAAACAUGAAGAAGGGGACAGGGCCAAAGAUGGUUUCCUCAUCUGCUCUGUCUUUCCAUUCACAAAGACACUUUUCUGCCAGAGGCAUUACAGAACAGUUAUCUUGAAACCCCAUUGCCAGAACUCAGUUAUAUGCUAUGCCCUAGCAAGAGUUAAGCUAGUCAUAAGUUCCCAUGGCCCUAGUACACCUUGACCGAUUCCAUGAGGUCAGUUUGUCUCUGCUUGCUCCCUCAGUGAAGCCAGAGAAGGGUGUGAGGAUAGCAGAUGCUAAGUGAUGACCUGUAUCUGCCUUGUGUGCCCCUUCCUGUUAGCUCUGUGUCAACUGUAGCCUGUGAGUAGAGUCCUAAAAUUAACACCCCUAACACGUAACAUAUGUACCUGACUUGUACAAGAAUGGCAGGUCAAAAUUCUAAGCAGCACACUUUCAUUCUGCAGAAGUACAUAGGACUGCAGUUCUGUUCCUAACAUCCACAUUCGGUGGCUCACAGCUACCUGUAACUGUAGCAUCAGGACAUCUGAGCUCCUCUGCUGACCUCCAAAAGGACUCCCAUGUGUGUACGUGUGUACACAUAAAUACACACAGAAAUAAUUAGUGCACAUAACAUAACGUAACUAAAACAAAUGAAUC
RNAcentral lists this small RNA (2096 nucleotides) under Rattus norvegicus (Norway rat). RNAcentral describes it as "uncharacterized LOC100912188". Lineage: Eukaryota; Metazoa; Chordata; Mammalia; Rodentia; Muridae. The record is from RNAcentral.